This 460-nucleotide ribosomal RNA is filed under the name uncultured bacterium. Its description in RNAcentral is "partial 16S ribosomal RNA". It matches the Rfam family "Bacterial small subunit ribosomal RNA", at positions 338 to 795 of the family's 1533-position model. The record is from RNAcentral.
CCUACGGGUGGCUGCAGUGAGGAAUAUUGGUCAAUGGACGAGAGUCUGAACCAGCCAAGUAGCGUGAAGGAUGACUGCCCUAUGGGUUGUAAACUUCUUUUAUAUGGGAGUAAAAUGUUCCACGUGUGGGAUUUUGUAUGUACCAUAUGAAUAAGGAUAGGCUAACUCCGUGCCAGCAGCCGCGGUAAUACGGAGGAUCCGAGCGUUAUCCGGAUUUAUUGGGUUUAAAGGGAGCGUAGGUGGAUUGUUAAGUCAGUUGUGAAAGUUUGCGGCUCAACCGUAAAAUUGCAGUUGAAACUGGCAGUCUGGAGUACAGUAGAGGUGGGCGGAAUUCGUGGUGUAGCGGUGAAAUGCGUAGAUAUCACGAAGAACUCCAGUGGCGAAGGCAGCUCACUGGACUGCAACUGACACUGAGGCUCGAAAGUGUGGGUAGCAAACAGGAUUAGAUACCCUGGUAGUC